Long non-coding RNA from Leopardus geoffroyi (Geoffroy's cat), 430 nucleotides. RefSeq lists it as uncharacterized. The transcript is spliced from 2 exons. The record is from RefSeq and is a predicted model, not a curated record. Lineage: Eukaryota; Metazoa; Chordata; Mammalia; Carnivora; Felidae.
AUAAUCAAUAUACUAAUCUUACAUGAUAUGUUCUGUGUUGUGGUAAUAGGGAUUUUUCACAUGUCUUUUUUAUGGGAAAUAAGGACGUACUGGGCAAGCACAAUAUGGGUAUAUGCAAUAUAUUAAUUAUGAAAGUUGUGGGGUUGGAGCCCAUCAAUCUAGUGAGGGCUUAGCUUAAUUAAAGUGUUUGAUUUGCAAUCAAUUGAUGUAAGAUAGAUUUUUACAGUCCUUAGGGUUGGGCGUACAGAAGUUAAGUCUGUGUGACUUGCUCAAAGCUUUGAAGGCUCUUGGUCUAGUUCUAACCUAAAUUUCUAAUCCAAAAUAGAUAGUAUUGGUGCAAGUGGUAGCAGUAUAGUUGAUAUUACAAUGAGAGGGGGCAAGAGGGUUAUUUUUAUUUUUGUACUUUUGAAUCGUCAUUUUAUUUUUAUAC